UCAUCACCAUUUCACCACUUCCCGUCGCCAUUCCCCUCCAUCCCUGCCUCCGUCGCCGUCCAUCUCCCUCGCCGCCUCCGUCGCCUGUCCUGGUGUCUGCUCCCCCUCCAGCGCCAUCGCCUUCUCCGCUCCCUCACUGCCCUCGCCGCCUUCUCCCCCGCCAGCGCCCCUCCAUCGACGUCCGCCUCCCCGCCUCCCCCGCUAUCGGCGGCUUCCCUCCGUCGAAGCCCUUCCUCGUCGCCCUCGCCGCCUUCUCCUCCGUCCGCGUCUCCGCGCCGGCUUGUAAGCCCCCACCAUCGCCGUCCUCCUCCCCCGCCCCCUUCUCCACCGCCCCUCCACCCGCCUCCACCGGCUCGCGAUGAGCCCUCUUCGCCGCGUCGCCUCCCCCCGCCACCGCCGCCACGUUUUCCUCCCCAUGGACCGCCGCCCCCUUCUCCACUCCACCGCUGUCACCAUCGACCUAGCCGCCGUCGCGGCUCUCCCCUCCCCAUCAUCCCCCGCCCCCUUCUCUGUGGACAUCGACCUAGCCGCCGUCGCGGUUCACCCCUCCUCAUCAACCGCCGCCCCCUUCUCCACCAUGCCGGUACCGCUGGUGUCCACCUGCAUCCGCCGCUCACGUCGUUCUCCUCCGCGCCACUAGCAAUCCCGCGUUGAUCUCCUCCAAGUCUCCCUCUAGCAACCUCCUCCUUGGCUAGUGGGUCAGUUUGCAAGAUGGUGGCAUGCGCGAAGGGGAUCCGCAUGCCGGCGAAGGGGUUAUCGGUGUUCAGGUGCGACGUUGAAGUAGAUGCACGUCGGUGACGUCGACAGCUUACUGCAUUGAGUCACCCCGAAGCGUAAGGUUUCAUAUACCGCUCCUUCUCAAAUGGAUUCAAAUAUGAACUAUAAAUAUUAUCUCAAAAAGGCAUCAAUGUUUGGGAUCCGUCAAAUACUCAAGUAGUAUCUAAAUGAUUUAAUAAGGGGAAGAGAGCAUAGUAAGGUAAUUGUGGUAAAUGUUCGACAGAUAAUCCAUUUAUGUCGUGGUUGGUAGUAGUGGACGAUCUUUAAUCUUGCUCAGUUCGGAGUUGAUCAAAAUUCCGGCUAAGUCCUGUCGAAAUGUUUUCACAUCCUUCUGCAUAAUGUAAAGGGAGUGCAUUUUAAAUCGUUUUUCGAAAUGGGAAGCACUGGUGCAAAAUAUGAAUAGAGGUCGUUGUAGUUGCCUGUAUUUGAAUUCCUGGGAGAUAAGAUUCGCUCCAAUGCUCCAUGAACUUAAGGGUGUACAGGCCACACGAGACGCUACAAGAAUUUAGUCGUUAGGCUAACACGUUUCCGUAAUUGAAUAAUGUGAAUAUCAUGUGGAAGAGUUUGAGUCACCCACCCAUCUCCUUGCUUUGGCAAUUUUUGGACUUUGUUGUAUUCCCAUUCGGUAAUAUUGAAACCAGGCCAAUCAUGUUUUAACUGUGGGUGUUGAUUCUCUGUCCCGUGUAAUCCCCUCUCGAUAGCUAGCAGCUGGGAAGUUUUGUGCAACGUUGGUACGGUAAAAACAUAGCAAAACCGAUUUGAAUUAUACAAGUGGAAGUGUAUCGCUUACCACACGCCUUAGAUCGGGUCGAUCUUUACUGAUUGGCUUUGCGAGCGAAUAUAGUAUUUGCACCUCACGUCGCUUGGCGUUAAGAACGGCUAGGUACCAGUGUGUAUCUUUAAUAUUAAUUAGGAGGAAAAUCUGCAGAUGUUCAACAGUAAGAUAGAGUCAUAAAUUGAAUUAGCCAUUACAUAGAUAGCUUAAAUAAGUAUUACCAUGUCAAAUGCUAGAUAGUCGCGUGCCAUAUCUCUAAUCCAUCGUUUAUCUCGAGGUUUGCUUGCUUCGACAUGCGCUCCCUCUACAUUUAGUAGACCUGUUUUAAUGGCCAUCUCUAGGAAGGCCUUGCCAUCUCCCCUGAUUCCUUUCUCAUUAUAGCGGAGGCAUUGGAUGUAUGCAUUCAUGACCUGAAUUUGAGGUUAGUUGAGUUACAUAACAAAUAUAAUUAUAAAAGAAUAGUAGGCUUGUUAAAUAGGCGAACUUACAUCAUCAUUUAAGAAUUCUGGUUGUGUUAGUACAUUCAUUCUUAUCCGUUUAACCUCCACUUCUUCAAUAUGCACCAUCACUUUGUUAUCCUCCGUAUUAUUAAUGUAGGUAAUGAAAGGGUCUUUUUUUUAGUCAACUCUACGAAGGUAGGACAAAUUAGUAAUAGAUCUGUAGAAAUGUUAAAUGGUUAGGCAUUACCUUCUGAAUUUUUUAAUGGUGUCUGGCCAUUCAUUUUUUUCUUCUUUUGACCUCGUAAGGCGUUCUUUGGUGGGCCUUUGUCUAUGAUUUUUUGGUAAGAUCUUCCUUCUCGAUGUACACUAGAAAAGGGUAAGUCAAAUCAGUAACACACAAACAUAGAAUAUAAGUAAAAAAUUAUGGAUGAUGUAGAGAGUUCAUACAUUCAGAUAUUUCAUUCGGUGUUUGGUUGUUUUGUUUCCUCUUCUUUUCACCCCGUAAUUCGUCUGUGUCUGGCAUGUUAGCUUCUUUAUCCGUUUGCGCUUGAAAAGGAGGAAAGUUAGUACCAUUGACAUGAGCAUAUGUAACUAUUAAAUAGCAUAAUACCUAUUGUUUUCUUUGUCUGUGCUUGGGUUCUGAUUAUGUCCUUCUUUUUACCCCUUGUUUCGUAGAUGAAGUCAGUCCGAUUAGUCAGUUUGUAUGUUCUUCCUGUAGGACCUGUAAGCCUCUUCCUGCUUUGAUUGCUCUGGUUACUGUUGUCCUGUUAGGUAACAAAGUGCACGUUAGUAUUAUGAUAAGUUGUAGAAACGUUAGCGAGAGAAUUAAAAUUCAGUUUACCUUCGUUUCACAAGUCAUGUUUACAUUUUGGUUUAUAUAGGACUCUUCGUUAUGAUUUGAUACAUGCUACCUGGGAUCAAUUUGUUCUUGUUCAACAUCCUACAAUAGCGUCAACCUUUUUUUAGCGGUGUUACGUAAGUAAUAAUGAUUAAUAGUCUAGCUUAUCAUCUUUACCUCAAACACAUGCGUAGUAUCUUUUCGUUCUAGGCAUUUUGAAUCAUUUUCCAUGCAAUCUAGUAUCAAUGAUCGCAUACGUGGCCAAAAAUCCUUUGUGAAAUCGUUGAAAUUAUCUUGUAAAGUUUGGAUACUUUCUUGUAAAGUGAUAUCGGCUGAUUGUUCAGUGGAUGUUGUAGAGUGUACUUGAAUAGCACAAGUGAGAAAAGGAUGUCAAACAUAUUUUGUUAAAUAGAGUUCGUAUUAAAACCCCAUAAUAUAUACCUCUUCAAAAGUGCAUAGAAAAUCUUCAUUGGUACGUGCUUCGAGUAUAUCGCUCCAAUAUUUCCGUUUUUCCGUUUUUUAUAGAUAUAUUCUUGCACGGUUCAAAAUGACAGUAGAGUAUAUCGUUCCGCUAUUUUUCCAUUUUUCCGUUUUUUGUUUACAGAUAAAAGGAUGGACAGGUACCGAUCUCAUUUACAUUCUUCAUAAUCUCCUUUCUCCCCAAUCUCAUCUUCCUCCGUGUGCAUCUCUUACUUCGUCAACCUCAUCUUCCUCCGUGAUUGCAAUAUGUCUGGUUCCUCGGUAUAUCCCGAAGCAGAUUCCGCCGUUCAGCUUGAUGAUUUAACAUGUGGCGAUGAAAAUAUGUUAGCCAUGUCUAAUGUUCUAAAGAACAAAAAAUCUGCAAGGCUCAAAAACCUUGUGUUGGCUAGAAAUUCAUUUUCCAUAACUGUAUACAACAUAAAUACUUUGUCAAAUCUUGUUUAUGUUGGAAGGGUACAAAUAACUGUGGAUGGUGAUGGCCGUCAUAUUGUAUACCCAAGGAAUGCACCAACGGCAGAAGACAUAGCUAGUGGAAAGGUAAAAAACAUCCAUUUUAUAAUGAGGACGGAUUUUAGGGACUGGCAGAUGAUGAAAGAUGUGGUUGUGGAUGGCGAAGAGCUAAUGCACAACCCUCAGCUCACCACACAUGGCACCAAUGCCAGCAAUACGUCACAGGAUGAGGAGGCGGCGGCCACCACCACGUGUGAGAAAAUGGAGAUGCGGGAGGCUCACCACAAGUUGAACCGUAGUCUCUUCCAAGACGAUGACAAAUAAUUACAUUCACUUUUUUUUUACGAGAAACAGCAUGAGAGGCUCCUACUGUGAUAUAUUAAGAAAUAUAAGGAGUUUAUAUACAUCAAGGGAAAAAUAAAAAAAGUAAAAAUUAAAAUAAAAAUAAUUACAAAGGAACUAAUAACAAGAGUCUAGCCAUGAUUGAAA
This is a non-coding RNA of Oryza sativa Japonica Group (Japanese rice), 4249 nucleotides long. The record is from RefSeq and is a predicted model, not a curated record. Lineage: Eukaryota; Viridiplantae; Streptophyta; Magnoliopsida; Poales; Poaceae.